UCCUGCUUUUGCUUCUGCUUGUGCUUCUUUUUCGGUUUCUCUUUUCACUUUCAGAUCUGCGCAGGAAUGUGUUCUAGGAAACUGUUUCAUCUGCUGCUUUUUGGUAGUUCGGGAUGUUUCAGUGCAGCACUAGGCCUGGGGGAACUUAACUAUUGUUCUUAAAGAAGCAGAGAUAAAAGUCACCGGUUGAGACCCUCUAGUGUACCAAAAAAGAGUGCACAUGUUCCUUUCAGUGAAUUGUCACUGUAAACCCGCCAUUGACCCAGUACCUCACAAGCCAUAUAUCCCGUUCUCCUUGUGGAUGCUCUAAGUGUGCUCUGAGCCACUGGGAGCCUCGGCAAGUUGUUCCCUGUCUCCUUUCUUGUCAGUGAAGCCUGUGAACACUCCGCACUAGUGGGAGCCAUGCAAUUUGGAGAGAGCUAAAGGAAGGGAAAACAACAUUCCCGCGGGGUCUCCCGCCUACUGGUUCUUGGUCCUAGGGUCCCCUGAGUUUCCUGGUCCAUUUUGGCCCAGGUGGCUGACUCCUUUCUGUUCUCCCUGUAUGGUUUUGUUUCUUUUUUCUCUUUACUUUUCUCACAAGGCAAAAGGCGGAGGCUCUCGACUUGGAGGGCCGGUGUUGUGCUUGUGGUUGGUGUUUGUAGAGCCGUACUGCCAUCAAGCGGAACCUGUUUCUGGAAAUGAGAGGCAGCUGGGCACAAGUGCUGGGAAAAACGCAGGAGCACAAAAGAGAUGGCAGCAUGGAGCCCGAAGACUGAAGCUGGACGAGACUGUAACUGCUCACUGGGCCUUGGCCUGGGCUCAUUCCCAGGAUGGUACCCUGUCGCCUAAGCUAUCGUUAAGGAAGGGCAGGCAGGUUGGCCCACCAUGGGUUCCCCUAGCUGUCUCAAGGAACCGCUGGUCUAGAGUUGCUGCACACUCAGCAGCCCGAAGCGCCUUUAUUCCCCGCCAAGAUGAAAGAUCCCUGGACCCACCAUGGCUCCAGCGAAGGGCACCUCAGAACUCUUCAAAAAGAGACCAGAGUAAACGGUCCCAUUCUCUGUCGUUAGUCGCCUGUGGCUUCCCUUAUGCCCAUCUCAAAAUGGCUGCCGUGGCAGUUCCACCCUGUGGUCUGAAUGGUCUUAGGGCUACCUGGCUGCUCUGUUUCUGGGCCUCUAGAGUCGCUGCUUCUCCAAGGGGUCCCAAUGUCAGGUACACUUUGUUGAUGGGCUCUAAACCCCAGUCACGGAAAGCCUGGAUCAGGCAGAGUUCACCUAGCCUCACACAUCCUUGCUGAAUUCAGUGCCUGGCCGAAAUCAAGUAUAUCUGCAUCCUGUUUUUCAUGUUCAGAAAGAACUUCAACUGGAUGGCACUGUGGCUCUACAAAUGGCGUUCACAUCUUCUCUUCCCCCACCUUGACUUAGUUUUCACCAUUUGCUGCCAAAGGAAUGGUAGAAACACA
Sapajus apella (tufted capuchin) is the source of this 1438-nucleotide long non-coding RNA. RefSeq lists it as uncharacterized. The transcript is spliced from 2 exons. The record is from RefSeq and is a predicted model, not a curated record. NCBI's taxonomy places the organism in Eukaryota, Metazoa, Chordata, Mammalia, Primates, Cebidae.